This 369-nucleotide ribosomal RNA is filed under the name uncultured bacterium. RNAcentral describes it as "bacterial SSU rRNA". It matches the Rfam family "Bacterial small subunit ribosomal RNA", at positions 527 to 898 of the family's 1533-position model. The record is from RNAcentral.
GGAGGGUGCAAGCGUUAUCCGGAUUCACUGGGUUUAAAGGGUGCGUAGGUGGGUAGGUAAGUCAGUGGUGAAAUCCCCGAGCUUAACUUGGGAACUGCCGUUGAUACUAUCUAUCUUGAAUAUCGUGGAGGUAAGCGGAAUAUGUCAUGUAGCGGUGAAAUGCUUAGAUAUGACAUAGAACACCCAUUGCGAAGGCAGCUUACUACACGAUCAUUGACACUGAGGCACGAAAGCGUGGGGAGCAAACAGGAUUAGAUACCCUGGUAGUCCACGCCCUAAACGAUGGAUACUCGACAUCAGCGAUACACUGUUGGUGUCUGAGCGAAAGCAUUAAGUAUCCCACCUGGGAAGUACGAUCGCAAGAUUGAA